GACGAACGCUGGCGGCGUGCUUAACACAUGCAAGUCGAACGGAAAGGCCCUGCUUGCAGGGUACUCGAGUGGCGAACGGGUGAGUAACACGUGGGUGAUCUGCCCUGCACUUCGGGAUAAGCCUGGGAAACUGGGUCUAAUACCGGAUAGGAGCCAUUUUUAGUGUGAUGGUUGGAAAGUUUUUUCGGUGUAGGAUGAGCUCGCGGCCUAUCAGCUUGUUGGUGGGGUAAUGGCCUACCAAGGCGGCGACGGGUAGCCGGCCUGAGAGGGUGGACGGCCACAUUGGGACUGAGAGACGGCCCAGACUCCUACGGGAGGCAGCAGUGGGGAAGAUUGCACAAUGGGCGCAAGCCUGAUGCAGCGACGCCGCGUGGGGGAUGACGGCCUUCGGGUUGUAAACUCCUUUCGCUAGGGACGAAGCUUUUUGUGACGGUACCUAGAGAAGAAGCACCGGCUAACUACGUG
Molecule: ribosomal RNA, 465 nt
Filed under: uncultured bacterium
Lineage: Bacteria
Description: partial 16S ribosomal RNA
Rfam family: Bacterial small subunit ribosomal RNA
Source: RNAcentral